UCCGACAUCGCAACCGUCUAGCC
Molecule: non-coding RNA, 23 nt
Filed under: Arabidopsis thaliana (thale cress)
Lineage: Eukaryota; Viridiplantae; Streptophyta; Magnoliopsida; Brassicales; Brassicaceae
Source: RNAcentral